UACGGAGGGGGCUAGCGUUGUUCGGAAUUACUGGGCGUAAAGCGCACGUAGGCGGCUUUGUAAGUUAGAGGUGAAAGCCCGGAGCUCAACUCCGGAAUUGCCUUUAAGACUGCAUCGCUUGAAUCAUGGAGAGGUGAGUGGAAUUCCGAGUGUAGAGGUGAAAUUCGUAGAUAUUCGGAAGAACACCAGUGGCGAAGGCGGCUCACUGGCCCGGUACUGACGCUGAGGUGCGAAAGCGUGGGGAGCAAACAGG
RNAcentral lists this ribosomal RNA (253 nucleotides) under uncultured bacterium. RNAcentral's name for it is "partial 16S ribosomal RNA". It matches the Rfam family "Bacterial small subunit ribosomal RNA", at positions 524 to 776 of the family's 1533-position model. The record is from RNAcentral.